UGGGGAAUAUUGCACAAUGGGGGAAACCCUGAUGCAGCGACGCCGCGUGAGUGAAGAAGUAUUUCGGUAUGUAAAGCUCUAUCAGCAGGGAAGAUAAUGACGGUACCUGACUAAGAAGCCCCGGCUAACUACGUGCCAGCAGCCGCGGUAAUACGUAGGGGGCAAGCGUUAUCCGGAUUUACUGGGUGUAAAGGGUGCGUAGGUGGCAGGGCAAGUCAGAUGUGAAAGCCCGGGGCUCAACCCCGGUACUGCAUUUGAAACUGUCCAGCUGGAGUGCAGGAGAGGUAAGCGGAAUUCCUAGUG
This 303-nucleotide ribosomal RNA is filed under the name uncultured bacterium. RNAcentral describes it as "bacterial SSU rRNA". It matches the Rfam family "Bacterial small subunit ribosomal RNA", at positions 355 to 675 of the family's 1533-position model. The record is from RNAcentral.